CAGGGCUUAAAUGUAGUCUGACAGGGGUGGAAACACCCUUUUCUUCGGACAGAUUACAAGGUGCUGCAUGGUUGUCGUCAGCUCGUGCCGUGAGGUGUCAGGUUAAGUCCUAUAACGAGCGCAACCCCUGUUGUCAGUUGCCAGCAUGUCAAGAUGGGGACUCUAACGGGACUGCCGGUGCAAACCGUGAGGAAGGUGGGGACGACGUCAAAUCAUCACGGCCCUUACGUCCUGGACUACACACGUGCUACAAUGGCCGGUACAGAGGGAAGCCACCCCGCGAGGGGGCGCGGAUCUACAAAACCGGUCACAGUUCGGAUCGGGGUCUGCAACUCGACCCCGUGAAGCUGGAAUUGCUAGUAAUCGGAUAUCAGCCAUGAUCCGGUGAAUACGUUCCC
This 398-nucleotide ribosomal RNA is filed under the name uncultured bacterium. Its description in RNAcentral is "bacterial SSU rRNA". It matches the Rfam family "Bacterial small subunit ribosomal RNA", at positions 975 to 1375 of the family's 1533-position model. The record is from RNAcentral.